Molecule: ribosomal RNA, 468 nt
Filed under: uncultured bacterium
Lineage: Bacteria
Description: partial 16S ribosomal RNA
Rfam family: Bacterial small subunit ribosomal RNA
Source: RNAcentral
GAUGAACGCUGGCGGCGUGCUUAACACAUGCAAGUCGAACGGAAAGGCCAGUGCUUGCACUGGUACUCGAGUGGCGAACGGGUGAGUAACACGUGGGUGAUCUGCCCUGCACUUCGGGAUAAGCCUGGGAAACUGGGUCUAAUACCGGAUAGGACAAUGGUUUGGAUGCCGUUGUGGAAAGUUUUUUCGGUGUGGGAUGAGCUCGCGGCCUAUCAGCUUGUUGGUGGGGUAAUGGCCUACCAAGGCGUCGACGGGUAGCCGGCCUGAGAGGGUGUACGGCCACAUUGGGAGUGAGAUACGGCCCAGAGUCCUACGGGGGGGAGCAGUGGGGAAUAUUGCACAAUGGGCGCAAGCCUGAGGCAGCGACGCCGCGUGGGGGAUGACGGCCUUCGGGUUGUAAACUCCUUUCGCUAGGGACGAAGCGUAUUUGUGACGGUACCUGGAGAAGAAGCACCGGCUAACUACGUG